This 552-nucleotide ribosomal RNA is filed under the name uncultured bacterium. RNAcentral describes it as "bacterial SSU rRNA". It matches the Rfam family "Bacterial small subunit ribosomal RNA", at positions 355 to 896 of the family's 1533-position model. The record is from RNAcentral.
UAGGGAAUCUUCCUUUNAAUGGACGGAAGUCUGACCGAGCAACGCCGCGUGAGUGAAGAAGGUUUUCGGAUCGUAAAGCUCUGUUGUAAGAGAAGAACGAGUGUGGGAGUGGAAAGUUCACACUGUGACGGUAUCUUACCAGAAAGGGACGGCUAACUACGUGCCAGCAGCCGCGGUAAUACGUAGGUCCCGAGCGUUGUCCGGAUUUAUUGGGCGUAAAGCGAGCGCAGGCGGUUAGAUAAGUCUGAAGUUAAAGGCUGUGGCUUAACCAUAGUACGCUUUGGAAACUGUUUAACUUGAGUGCAAGAGGGGAGAGUGGAAUUCCAUGUGUAGCGGUGAAAUGCGUAGAUAUAUGGAGGAACACCGGUGGCGAAAGCGGCUCUCUGGCUUGUAACUGACGCUGAGGCUCGAAAGCGUGGGGAGCAAACAGGAUUAGAUACCCUGGUAGUCCACGCCGUAAACGAUGAGUGCUAGGUGUUAGACCCUUUCCGGGGUUUAGUGCCGCAGCUAACGCAUUAAGCACUCCGCCUGGGGAGUACGACCGCAAGGUUG